UUUAAAAAUUUUUGGUUCACGGCCUUCACUGGAUUACCUACUGGAGCAAACAAAGUGUAACCAUGUAAAACCUGUGAGCUUGUAUUGAUAUCUCAUGGCUAGAGUUCCAAGUUGCAGGAAUUUAGCCAAUUCAGAGAUCUUGUUCUCCAUAAUUUGGAAUUUUCCUUCGGAUUUGAUCAAGUUGGAUAGAGUUGGUCAAACCCAAUGGGAAAAAGAUGAAAACAACAAGAAACAGAAACAAACAACAACAGCAACAACAACAAAAACAAUGCAUUUAAUUAAAUGAAGAUGAGCUCAUGCUGGAGUAGGGUGGACUCUGAACCCAGUAGGACAAGCGUCCUUGUUAAGAAGAGGGAAAUCUGGACACACACAGAGCAGAGACCGCCGUGUGAAGAUGGAGGCAGAGAUCGGAGAGAUGCUGCCACAUGCCACAAAUGCCUGGGGCUCCCAGAAACUACACGGAGCCUCCCCCAGCGGCUUCAGCAGGAGCAUGGCUCGGCCAACACUUUAAUCUUGGUCUUCCAGCCUCCAGAACGUUUUCCUAAAAUUCCCUUUUCCACUGGUGUGUGGUGCAAGAUGAGGCACAUUUUCCAUGGAUGGUGAACAGAGGGAGGAGCCUUUUGAUCACAACCCGGUCACCCCACUUCUAAGCCACUGUGCCUCCAGCCCCACAAGACUAAGGAGAGAGAGCGCAGAGUGGUGGAGAGUGAGCUGUGCUGGGACCGUUGUUUCCGUAACCUCGUUUUCUGUGUCCAGCUGACACACCUUCAAAGCGGCAUCAGGUCCUACACUGUAGCUUGCAAUGUGCCUGUUUCCAGAAACCAAGGUGAAAGUGCUUUUAGACAGUGUUCCCAUGCAAGAGUCCCUUCCCAGCUUUUUUCUGGAAAUGCAUGUUUCUCUGAACUCUGAGUCCCAAGAAAAAUCAUUUGAGACAUCAAGAAAAUGGGGGAAGUGCUAAAAUUGUGUGGGAAUUCAAGCUUAACAAUAAACAUCAAGACAUUUUUGGUAAAAAUGAAUCCACUGACAUCGGGGAGGAGCAAGAGAACAGCACGCUGACACUGGGUCAGAGGCUAAGACCGACAUUUCUGGGAACCACUCCCGGAAGGGCACAGAUGAGACACUUUCAGCCUCUCGUCAGCCAGCCUGGCCUGUAGCUGCUGCACGUUAUGAGUGUGUUCCUGGCAUGACUGCUUCUAACAGUGACCAUUUCAUUAAGUUUUUAAGUGCCUGGUAAUUGCUUGGUUAUGACCGGUGUCUGCUCCAUGGCAGCCUCUUCCUGAAGAAAUGCUGAGGCAGUGUCACGCUGGUGUCUGUCCUCCUUACAGAAUGCCUGAACAGUUCCAUUGACUCAAAGUGAAGAUCAAAAGAACCAAAGGACAGCAAUAGCCAAGUGUAAUCAUCAGUAACCCUGUGUUCUAUCCACAGGUAAAAAACAAUCAUCCUCUUCAUUAUGGGUUUCAAUUUUAAAUGUAAUACAUUUUUAGAAAUGCCUAUUUCCUUUUAUAAUCUCUUUAUAUAAUCUAGGUUAUUCUGGCUCUUAGGUCUUCAUUUAGCUACUGAAAAGAUUUGAUCUCAAAUCAAUGUUCUAACCACCCAUGACCAUCUCCCACCUCUCUCCCCGUACAGCCCCCAGCAUGAAUUCUGGGAACUCAGGUAAAAUGCUUUCUGGAAACCUGCCUGUAUUAGUCUGUUGUCAAGCUGCUAAUAAACACAUACCCGAAACUGGGUAGUUUAUAAAGG
Molecule: small RNA, 1740 nt
Filed under: Pan troglodytes (chimpanzee)
Lineage: Eukaryota; Metazoa; Chordata; Mammalia; Primates; Hominidae
Description: retained intron
Source: RNAcentral